Molecule: transfer RNA, 76 nt
Filed under: Chloroflexota bacterium
Lineage: Bacteria; Bacillati; Chloroflexota
Also listed under: 1 other name
Description: tRNA-Arg
Rfam family: tRNA
About the family: Transfer RNA (tRNA) molecules are approximately 80 nucleotides in length. Their secondary structure includes four short double-helical elements and three loops (D, anti-codon, and T loops).
Source: RNAcentral
GCGCUUGUAGCUCAGCGGAUAGAGCGCAGCCCUGCGGAGGCUGAGGCCGUGGGUUCAAAUCCCGCCAAGCGCGCCA